UACAGAGGUCUCAAGCGUUGUUCGGAUUCAUUGGGCGUAAAGGGCUCGUAGGUGGCCAACUAAGUCAGACGUGAAAUCCCUCGGCUUAACCGGGGAACUGCGUCUGAUACUGGAUGGCUUGAGUUUGGGAGAGGGACGCGGAAUUCCAGGUGUAGCGGUGAAAUGCGUAGAUAUCUGGAGGAACACCGGUGGCGAAGGCGGCGUCCUGGACCAACACUGACACUGAGGAGCGAAAGCCAGGGGAGCAAACGGG
Molecule: ribosomal RNA, 253 nt
Filed under: uncultured bacterium
Lineage: Bacteria
Description: partial 16S ribosomal RNA
Rfam family: Bacterial small subunit ribosomal RNA
Source: RNAcentral